UCCGGUUUAUCACCGGCAGUCCCGGUAGAUCAUCUAACGACCGGCGAGGGUUGCGCUCGUUGCGGGACUUAACCCAACACCUCACGGCACGAGCUGACGACAGCCAUGCAGCACCUGUGCGGCACCCCUUGCGGGCACGGGCUUUCACCCGCUGUGAGCCGCAUGUCAAGCCCUGGUAAGGUUCUACGCGUCGCGUCGAAUUAAACCACACGCUCCACCGCUUGUGCAGGCCCCCGUCAAUUUCUUUGAGUUUUAACCUUGCGGCCGUACUCCCCAGGCGGAUGACUUAACGCGUUAGCUGCGCCACCUGAACGCUAAGCGCCCAGACAGCUAGUCAUCAUCGUUUACGGCGUGGACUAC
This 360-nucleotide unclassified non-coding RNA is filed under the name uncultured Alphaproteobacteria bacterium. RNAcentral describes it as "contains 16S-23S intergenic spacer region". Lineage: Bacteria; Pseudomonadati; Pseudomonadota; Alphaproteobacteria. The record is from RNAcentral.